RNAcentral lists this ribosomal RNA (446 nucleotides) under uncultured bacterium. Its description in RNAcentral is "partial 16S ribosomal RNA". It matches the Rfam family "Bacterial small subunit ribosomal RNA", at positions 338 to 795 of the family's 1533-position model. The record is from RNAcentral.
CCUACGGGAGGCAGCAGUCGAGAAUCAUUCACAAUGGGGGAAACCCUGAUGGUGCGACGCCGCGUGGGGGAAUGAAGGUCUUCGGAUUGUAAACCCCUGUCAUGUGGGAGCAAAUUAAAAAGAUAGUACCACAAGAGGAAGAGACGGCUAACUCGGUGCCAGCAGCCGCGGUAAUACAGAGGUCUCAAGCGUUGUUCGGAAUCACUGGGCGUAAGGCGUGCGUAGGCUGUUUCGUAAGUCGUGUGUGAAAGGCGCGGGCUCAACCCGCGGACGGAACAUGAUACUGCGAGACUAGAGUAAUGGAGGGGGAACCGGAAUUCUCGGUGUAGCAGUGAAAUGCGUAGAUAUCGAGAGGAACACUCGUGGCGAAGGCGGGUUCCUGGACAUUAACUGACGCUGAGGCACGAAGGCCAGGGGAGCGAAAGGGAUUAGAUACCCCUGUAGUC